GCUUGUCAAUAUGGUAAACAAACACGUAGCUCCUAUACAUCGUCUGAUAAUAGAAGUGACACGCCACUUCAAGUUAUACAUUCUGAUGUGUGGGGUCCUAGUGGAGUUUCAUCUUUAAAUGGAUAUCGCUCGUUUGUUACCUUUAUUGACUGUUGUACUAGAGUGACUUGGGUUUAUGUGUUGAAGAACAAGAACGAUGUGUUUGAAUGCUUUGUUGAUUUUCAUAAUAUGAUCAGAACGCAAUAUAAUGCUUGUGUGAAAACAUUUCGCACUGAUAAUGGCACAGAGUAUGUGAACAAGGAAUUUAAUGAGUACUUAUCCAGUUUUGGGAUUAUUCAUCACACAACUUGUCCAGGUACUUCAGAGCAGAAUGGUUUGGCAGAAAGGAAGAAUAGACAUCUUCUGGAAAUCACUCGUUGCAUAAUGAUAUCUAUGAAUGUUCCUAAGUUUUUGUGGGGUGAAGCUGUAAUGACAGCUGCUUACUUGAUGAAUAGAAUGCCAUCCAGGGUACUUGGUUAUAAAACACCGUUAGAGUGUCUAACGGGUGAAACAAAAUAUGUGGUUCCACCUAAGGUCUUUGGGUGUGUUUGUUUUGUGAAGGAUUACAGACCAUCUGUUGGCAAGCUAGAUCCAAAGGCGUUAAAGUGUGUAUUCGUGGGGUACUCUGGUAAGCAGAAGGGAUAUAAAUGUUGGUGUCCAUCUGAAAGGAGAAUGUUUGUGAGUAUGGAUGUGGUAUUUAGGGAGCAGGAACCAUUCUAUGGUGAACCGACGGAUUUAACUGAUGUCUUCCCUGAUUUGUUUGCUAAUGAAAAUUUAGAUGCAGAUUGUGAGACAGGGGGAGAUAAGGAAGAGGAAGAUGAUGCAACAUCAAGAAAGAUGAUAGUUGGGGUAAUUCCAGUGGAAA
This 904-nucleotide ribosomal RNA is filed under the name Triticum aestivum (bread wheat). Its description in RNAcentral is "partial small subunit ribosomal RNA". The record is from RNAcentral. Lineage: Eukaryota; Viridiplantae; Streptophyta; Magnoliopsida; Poales; Poaceae.